This 4883-nucleotide long non-coding RNA is filed under the name Brassica napus (rape). RNAcentral's name for it is "long non-coding RNA (BNAP_LNC017202)". The record is from RNAcentral. Lineage: Eukaryota; Viridiplantae; Streptophyta; Magnoliopsida; Brassicales; Brassicaceae.
AGGAUCACCAUCGAUACAAUCCAACCCGCUUUCACUACCGAAAGCUCUCUCCUCCGCAGCUUCAUCUCAUCUCUCCUUCGAAGCUUCUCGUCUCCUCCGCAGCUUCAUCUCGUCUCUUCGUGCCGUCUUCAGAUUGGAGGUUCCAACCGGGAGAGAACUUUCGCGAGAGAGAGAGAGAGAGAGAGAGAGAGAGAAGAGAGAAACGAAGAAGAAAGAACACACCUCCUCUGACCUUUCAAAUGCCUACGCGUGUCAACAAGAAACGCCUCUUCCUGACCCUAAUUAAGACACGUUUCUUUUAUAAUUAUACAUUUUUAUAUUUUUUUUAAUCCAAAAUACCUUAAGAGACAUCUCAAGGCACUGCGAUAAAGGUGCUCUAAUAUGUAUAUGCAAUUUAUCAUAUGUUUUCGUCUUUAAAUUAUAAUGGAGUUUUUGAGAUUUAAUUGGGUCACCCUUAAACGUCACAUGAUCUGAUCUAUUCGUUAAUCACUCGCUAAUAUUAAUUGUUUUAAUUUCUUAGAAUCAACCAAAGGCAGCUAUUAUUUUUACGAAAUAAAUUUGUUUUAGAUUCAUUAAUUUGGCUAAGGGUUAGAUUUUUUCUUUCCAACUAGACCAUUAAAACCUAACGGUAUAAACUUAUUCGAUACAUGGCUACCCAACAACUGAAUUACUUUGAUGUUGGUGACUUUGUACGAGCUUAGAAAUUACCUAAGCUGCAAACAAGAUAACGAAGAUAGUAAUAAUACUCUUAGCAACAUGGUUGAAUUACAGUUUCAAAAGAAAAAAGAAAAAAAACAUGGUUGAACUAAUUGCGUUUGGUUAAAUUUUAUCUCUAUGAUUCAGCAAGUCAAUGAAAACCUCAUAGAACCACACCACAGGCAUGUCAAUCACACGUACGGUGUGAACUUCCAUGCUAAAGCAAUGUGUGAUUGAGACCAGACAGAGAACCACAGUAUACUAGGGAAAAUUGGCUAAUUCAUACAUCAACAAAGACCAACGGUUCCGAUCAGUACAUAAACAUGUUAUAUGUGCGAAAACAUACAUCAACUAGUACAAAAUUUAAUUUUUAUACGCGAACAUUCAAAAUUUGGUUUUAUCAUACAUUGACCUAAUUUUCGUUAGUCAAACGUUGUAACAGAAAAUCGGCUAAUUCCUACAUCAACAGGGACCAAUGGUCCAAAUCAAUACAUAAACACUUCACCUGUACAAAAACAUACAUCAACUAAUACAAAAUUUAAAUCCAAUACAUGAACUUUCGAAAUCUGGUUUUAACAUACACUAAACAUGCGCGUCCGCGCGGAUAUUUGUUGUUAAUUUUUUUAUAAAUUGUUUAAUGACAUUUCUAAAUAUAUAAAAUUUUGUUCAUUGUUAUGUUCCUACACAUAGAAACCAAACCCACCCAAACCAAACCAAACUAAACCAAAGAAAUAAAAAGUUUUUUUGUUAACUGGUUUGAAUUCUUGUCGCGGAUGAAGAAAAUUCAUUCAAACAUAUGAAAUUAUUAUGGUUAACAUGUAAAAUAAACGUUGUCGAAUUAUUAUGACAAAUAUAAUUAAUGAAGUAGUUAAGAAGUAUAAAAAAAUGUAAAAGAUAUAAUAAAACACUUAAAUAUAGGUAAGUUCUGUAUUAUAUUUCUAUAAGACAUCCUGUCAAAUUAUUUGGAAAAAUGCAAUUAAUAAAGUAGUUAAGUUGAGUAAAAAUAAAGAAAGAAAAGAUGUAAUAAAUCUGUUAAAAAUAAUGUUCGUUUUAUUUUGUACUCAAAUUUAGUAAAAUAGAUUUACCUAAUUUCCACUAGUCAAAUAAUACCGAAAAUAAAUUUUAUGUCACGUGUUGAUUAAGUAAAAUUUUUAUUGUAUUAUAUGAUAAUUAAACCGUAGUACGUAGUAAUUGACAGAGAGAAAUGAGAAUGUUUAGCUUAUCGAAGACAUUCUAUUUUCUCUUUGUUCAAUUUUGUCUUCUUUAGUUUUCUCGGUGUUAGUGUUUUCUUUUGUCGAAAAAGUUGAAGAAAAAAAUUAAUGAGAAAAGCUAACUAAUGAAUUACACGAGAAAGAAAUCGUUUGACCUACAUGUUUUAUUUUUCUAAUUCAAUUACCAUGUAAUACAAUUUAAUUACCACAUAAUACAAUAAAAAUCUUACUUAAUCAACACGUGACAGACAAUUUAUCUUCGAUAUUAUUUGACUAGUGGAAAUUAGGUAAAUGUCAAGCUUUAGCGUAUGUUAAAACCAGUUUUUAAAACUUCAUGUAUUGAAUUUAAAUUUUGUAUUAGUUGAUGUAUGUUUUUGCACAGGUGAAGUGUUUAUGUAUUGAUCCGUACCAUUGGUCUCUGUUGAUGUAGAAAUUAGCCGAUUUUCUAUUAUCGGUUAACGAAAACUCAACGUUUGACUAACGAAAAUUAGGUCAAUGUAUGAUAAAACCAAAUUUUGAAAGUUGAUGUAUGAAAAUUAAAUUUUGUAAUAGUUGAUGUAUGUUUUCGCACAGGUAACAUGUUUAUGUACUGAUCGGGACCGUUGACCUUUGUUGAUGUAGGAAUUAGUCGAUUUCCCGUAUAUUGAGGGUUCUGGUUUUAGCUUCGGUGCCUUGUUCGGUUCCAAAUCAGUGCCACUGUCAGACCUCUCUGCACUUUAGCUUUUGUUUUGUUUAAUUCCUUGUCUCUUUGAUUCAUUUCACAGUCACUCAACAGUCAACAUUCCCUUUUGUUUAUUAUGUUUUUUUUUUUGCUGAAAACAAAACUCUUUCUGUUAUGAACCAUAUUGUGGAUGGCUCAUAACCAAGAGAUUAUGAUUUGAAAUCUUUCCAUUUAUCUAUGACGGUGUAAUCUCCUAUAUAAGGAAACUUUAUGUUAUGAAUAAAUAUAGACUUUUCCAUUACUUUUAUAACACAUUAUCAGCACGAUGCUCUAAAUCCCUAAGCUAAUACCCAAAUCGAAAAAUCCUAAAAUCCUAACCCUAGCCGGUGAUCCGACGAACCCUAAACCCCGAUCGCGUCUCUUGUUCCCGCAUCUGUUCCAACUCACGUCCCCGAUCAGCUUCAGCCCAAGGCGUUCCUGAUCCUAGCUCAGUCGUUCGCGACCCGAGAGCAGCUCCAGCACGCGACCUCUUCCUCGUUCGCGACAGCAUUAGACAGCUCGCGUCCGCAGCUCAAGGCGUUCCCGAUCAAGCAACAAAGGACGUCCGCGACCCGAUAGAAGCGACUCGAUCCAUUCCAGCUCGCGUCCCGUUCGUGUCCAGCUCGCGGCUCAACUCCUUUGGUGGUCCGAUUCAACAAUCAUCUAAGGUUAAAAGGUAAUUCAAAACCUAAGAACCCAUAAUCGAACAUGGAUUGAUUGAUAAAGAAUGAAACCCUAAAACCCUAAUCUUUAUGAAUCAAAACCAUAGGGUAAUUGAGGUUUAAAUCCGUGUGAGUUAGGAUUGAUAGUUUUUAUAACCUGAUUGAAUGAUUUGAGGUUUAAUAUUGCAUGUUAGAAUCUGUUAUAAUGUAAAUCCUAAUUUGAAUUGAUAAACCCUAAAAUAGAAUCCGUGUAUUGCAUAAUCCGAAUUGAAUGUUUUGAGGUUUCAUAUUAUAUUAGGUUGAUAGUUUCAUGAUAUAAUCAACUGUUCUGGAGUUUAAGAUUAUUUGCUAGAAGCUGAUUAAUUGAUAAAACCCUAAUUUCGAAUUGAAACCCUAAACCUAAUUUGUGUAUAUCUAAAAUCAGAUUGCCUGAUUCCAUCUUGCUAAUAUCAGCCUUGAAACUGAUAAAUAUUAGCCUUGAAACUGAUUAAUAAAAUUUAUAGAAUCAGCCUUGAAAUUGAUUGUUUUGGUUUUUCAUGAUUGAAACCCUAUUUUUGGAUCGAAACCCUAAAUUGUGUAAUGCUUGAAUCCGUUUGAUUAUUUUUAAUUAUUGAUCCAAUUGCUAGUCUUGAUAAAACCUAAUUGAAUCUGAUUGUUAGUCUAGCUAAAUCUCAUACCUGAAACUGAUUGAUUAAUUGCUAAAUCUUGAUUGAAUGUUUUAAUAUUACCCUUGCACAUAUAUAAUCUGAUUGCUAAGAUUGAGUGCAUCAUAUCUACUUGGCCGUGUGGCCAGUUUGCAUCAUAUAUCAUCCUGACCAACAUGUUUAUGUUAUACGCAUGAUCUGAUUAUUAUCACCUUUGCAUGAUCUGAUUGUUUUAAAUUGAGGUUCCAUAAUUCCACUCCUGUACAUAUAGAAUCAGUAUGCUAGGUUUGCAUUAUAACCAUAUGGCCGCAUGAAAACAUAUAGAAAUUGCUUGUUUGGUCGAUACCCUUGCUUGAUAAAUCUAUGUGACUUAUUAUGCUUCAUAUAUCACUUUGGUCGUGUGGCCUGAUUGCAUUAUAUCACAUCUGAUCAGCGACCCGGUGACAUGUGGAACAUCGUCAGUUACGAACGACGAGCGUAGCUCCUUCCCUACAACGAGUGGUGACGCGAAACCUAAGGACAAUGAAACCCCAGAAUCCAGAAUCAAUAUAAAUCAAAAGUAGACGAAUUGGGAUGAUGCAUAGUGCAAAAGUGAUUACCUUUAAAAGGAUCACCAUCGAUACAAUCCAACCCGCUUUCACUACCGAAAGCUCUCUCCUCCGCAGCUUCAUCUCAUCUCUCCUUCGAAGCUUCUCGUCUCCUCCGCAGCUUCAUCUCGUCUCUUCGUGCCGUCUUCAGAUUGGAGGUUCCAACCGGGAGAGAACUUUCGCGAGAGAGAGAGAGAGACACUCUGACCUCUCAAACGCUUACGCGUAUCAACAAGAAACGCCUCUUCCUUCCUGACCCGAAUUAAGACACAUUCUUCUAUAAUUAUGUAUUUUUUUUAUUUAUUUUUUAAUCCAAAAUACUUCAAGAGACGUCCAGGAUUAUCCGGAGGGGAAAUGAGUUUUUAGCGGGGUUUUUAGGUUGG